GACGAACGCUGGCGGCGUGCUUAACACAUGCAAGUCGAACGGAAAGGCCCCUUUGGGGGUACUCGAGUGGCGAACGGGUGAGUAACACGUGCGUAACCUGCCCUUGACUUCGGGAUAACUUCAGGAAACUGGGGCUAAUACCGGAUAGGAAUCCUUGCUGCAUGGUGGGGGUUGGAAAGCUUCGGCGGUUUUGGAUGGACUCGCGGCUUAUCAGCUUGUUGGUGGGGUAGUGGCUUACCAAGGCUUUGACGGGUAGCCGGCCUGAGAGGGCGACCGGCCACAGUGGGACUGAGAUACGGCCCAGACUCCUACGGGAGGCAGCAGUGGGGAAUAUUGCACAAUGGGCGGAAGCCUGAUGCAGCAACGCCGCGUGCGGGAUGACGGCCUUCGGGUUGUAAACCGCUUUCAGCAGGGGCGAAGCUUGUGGUGACGGUACCUGCAGAAGAAGCACCGGCUAACUACGUG
This 465-nucleotide ribosomal RNA is filed under the name uncultured bacterium. Its description in RNAcentral is "partial 16S ribosomal RNA". It matches the Rfam family "Bacterial small subunit ribosomal RNA", at positions 28 to 507 of the family's 1533-position model. The record is from RNAcentral.